CCUACGGGUGGCAGCAGUGAGGAAUAUUGGUCAAUGGACGAGAGUCUGAACCAGCCAAGCCGCGUGAAGGAUGACUGCCCUAUGGGUUGUAAACUUCUUUUAUAUGGGAAUAAAAUCUUCCACGCGUGUGAUUUUGUAUGUACCAUAUGAAUAAGGAUCGGCUAACUCCGUGCCAGCAGCCGCGGUAAUACGGAGGAUCCGAGCGUUAUCCGGAUUUAUUGGGUUUAAAGGGAGCGUAGGUGGUUUGUUAAGUCAGUUGUGAAAGUUCGCGGCUCAACCGUAGAAUUGCAGGUGAUACUGGCAGUCUAGAGUAGAGUAGAGGUAGGCGGAAUGCGUGGUGUAGCGGUGAAAUGCUUAGAUAUCACGAAGAACUCCGAUUGCGAAGGCAGCUCACUGGGCUGCAACUGACGCUGAGGCACGAAAGCGUGGGUAUCAAACAGGAGUAGAUACCCCUGUAGUC
Molecule: ribosomal RNA, 460 nt
Filed under: uncultured bacterium
Lineage: Bacteria
Description: partial 16S ribosomal RNA
Rfam family: Bacterial small subunit ribosomal RNA
Source: RNAcentral